RNAcentral lists this transfer RNA (73 nucleotides) under Deltaproteobacteria bacterium GWA2_38_16. RNAcentral's name for it is "tRNA-Thr". It matches the Rfam family "tRNA". From Rfam's summary of the family: Transfer RNA (tRNA) molecules are approximately 80 nucleotides in length. Their secondary structure includes four short double-helical elements and three loops (D, anti-codon, and T loops). Further hydrogen bonds mediate the characteristic L-shaped molecular structure. tRNAs have two regions of fundamental functional importance: the anti-codon, which is responsible for specific mRNA codon recognition, and the 3' end, to which the tRNAs corresponding amino acid is attached (by aminoacyl-tRNA synthetases). tRNAs cope with the degeneracy of the genetic code in two manners: having more than one tRNA (with a specific anti-codon) for a particular amino acid; and 'wobble' base-pairing, i.e. permitting non-standard base-pairing at the 3rd anti-codon position. RNAcentral also lists the same sequence under 4 other names. The record is from RNAcentral. Lineage: Bacteria; Deltaproteobacteria.
GCCCACGUAGCUCAGUUGGCAGAGCACUUCCUUGGUAAGGAAGAGGUGACCGGUUCGAUCCCGGUCGUGGGCU